This 253-nucleotide ribosomal RNA is filed under the name uncultured bacterium. RNAcentral's name for it is "partial 16S ribosomal RNA". It matches the Rfam family "Bacterial small subunit ribosomal RNA", at positions 524 to 776 of the family's 1533-position model. The record is from RNAcentral.
UACGGAGGGGGCUAGCGUUGUUCGGAAUCAUUGGGCGUAAAGGGCGCGUAGGCGGCCUGCCAAGUCGGGUGUGAAAUCCCUCGGCUCAACCGAGGAACUGCACUCGAUACUGGCUGGCUAGAGUCCGGGAGGGGAUGGUGGAAUUCCCAGUGUAGCGGUGAAAUGCGUAGAUAUUGGGAAGAACACCCGUGGCUAAGGCGGCUCUCUAGUACGGUACUGACGCUGAGACGCGAAAGCGUGGGGAGCGAACAGG